This 836-nucleotide long non-coding RNA is filed under the name Medicago truncatula (barrel medic). Its description in RNAcentral is "long non-coding RNA (MTRU_LNC003504)". Lineage: Eukaryota; Viridiplantae; Streptophyta; Magnoliopsida; Fabales; Fabaceae. The record is from RNAcentral.
UUAAUUAAUUCUUUUGAACUAGUAAUGCUUGUCAUGGAUGUUUGAUGAUGUAGGAAAAGGAAUGAGUCUAAGAUCUUCAAGAAGAUGAAAGAUGUUCUGUGGUUGAAAAGGUUAUGGUGAAUCUUGUGGAACAACCUAAAAGUCCUUGUGUAGUUUGUUUCAUGGAUUUUUCAGAAAACGAAAUACAUUCCGAGUGUUGAAGAAGAGUUAAUGGUGGAAGCUUGUGGAAUUACAUGGUGUAGUUGGAUGAAAGGAUAAGGAUCAAGGUGCUUGAUAGUUAAAUUGGCAUCACCAUCAAUUUAUAGUCCAUGUAGAGAAAGGUUGAAAAUUGGCUCAAAACAUAUGUUGAAGUUUCUACAAAAUCGUGACACGAUUUUGGUUCAACAAUUUGUUGUAAGGUACAGGAAAUAUCGUGGCACGAUUUGGGAAACUAUGGUAGGAUUUUCGAUAAGUUUCAGUAUUUUACUCGUGUACGAGUACAAAUCGUACAAUUUAGGAAAACGUGGCAUAAUUUUCAUGGGUUUGAACACUAUAAAAGGGCUUCGUUCAUCAUUUUUUGGGCAAUCCCAUGAAACUAAAGGAGGGAACUUUAGGAAAAUUAGAUGCUUAGAGUUGAGUGUCUCUGGGGUAGAUUCUUGGGUUGAGAAAUAAUUGUAAACACCUUGGAUAAGUGAAAUCAUUGAGUCUCUUGGCCACAUGAAGAGAUUCGGUAAACUGGUUGUAAUUAGGUUUAUUUUUGGAGAGCUUAUUGAAACUAAUUUCUUGUAACUCUUAUGUAUGUCUUUGUAAAUAACUCAUUGAAAGUGAAGUGGAGUGAUCUCUCUCCUCCAAACGUA